GACUGGCCGAAGAAGCAGAGGGACUUCAGGUGGCUCCUCGCCGCCUCCUCGUCACUGAAGCCCGCCUGGCACUUGCGGCAGACCAACUUAUGCAGUGCUCCUGGGAGCUGUGGUACAGCCGGAUGCUGGAUCCUGGAGGUAAAGGUCGGAAAGACGGCUGGAUUCAGAGAAGACGGGUGAGGACAAAGGAGGAACAAGAGAGGUACAGAGGAAGAACCACGAGUAGUUCUCGUGAGUAGAAAAGAGUCAAAAAUAAUGACACUAACCGGGCUGCUUGGCUGCCUCCUCCACACUGGAGUUCCCGUCUCGAUCUGGAACCGCCGUUGGGAGGAACAUGCUGCUGGGCAUCACCAUCUCAGGGGUAGUCACCUGAAGAGCAGGAGGCAGAGAAGCGAGCAGAGUCAAAUGGAGAGGAAAGAGACACAAAAUGGGGAGAUCUGUAAAAAUUAUUUAAUAAGCAAAAUUAGCCUUCACCAGUGUGAAGCUGGAGGUGUCACUUUUCAUAGCUCACUGAAGACUCAUGUUUAUUAGACAAAGCUCACAUCAGUCAAAAGUGUUUCUACGGUUACAUUCUGGACAUAAUUAGCAGUGCACACUUGAAGAAUAAUCUUAUUAUUAAUAUUUUUCCUUUAUGCAGAAUUUUGACUUUGAUCACUGACAAUGUUUUGUCAUGGGCUGUGAAACUUCUUGUGCAACCAAUUAGGUAGAUAAGUUGAAAGGCCCACCUUAAGCUGCUGAAAACAUAAUAAGGGCCCUAAUUAAAUCAUACCUAGUAAAGUACACUGUAAUCUUGAAGCAGGGAGCAUUGUAGUACUGUUUUCAAAAUGUAUUCAGGCAAGAAGAGGAGGGGAAUGAGAGCGAAGGAAAGGGUAAGAAGCAGGGGAGAGAACAAAGGGAAGGCUAAGGACACGCAGACACGUUGGCAGAUUUUCCAGGAAACAACAUUUUGUAACCCUUUACAAGCUGAGAUCAAGUGCUAACAAGCACUUCUUAUGACUCACUGCAGCCAGGAUUUCUCCUGGAGUCUUUGCCCAAGAUACACAGCAUCAGCGGGAACUCGCAGCCCGUGGCCCAGCCACACGUUCUACAACAGGGCAGGCCCACCUGGGCCAGGGCUGCUGUUUCUUAGUACAGCAAUUCCAGAAUGAGCCUGGGUCAGAAGAGCUGCAGUUUAAAGUCAGAGCUUUAGAUGUUUCUCCAGGCUUCCAUGCCAUCUGGCCAGAAGCUUGUCCAAACACGGUAUCAUUUUGUCCUACAUUAAUGUGAUAAGAAGGCCUCAAUAUCCAAAGUAAGGAUCAAAGGUUGUUCAUUCCAAAAGAAGCAACAUCCGUUUGCCUCCUACAGGGUGGGAAGAUAGUUGGCAGUGAUGUUCCCAAAUGAAUUAGAAAUCAUUCCCUGUUUGAUGACAGCCUGAGAAAUAGCCUGACCCUGGGGUUACAGGAACAGACACUUAAGGAGUUGCCGUUACCUUUCUACACGGCACCCAGCCCCACCUGGGGGCAUUAUUUUUCCAUUAAACAUGACUACUGAGAUAGUACCUUGCUGUUGAACACCUAGAUUACUGUUCAAAAUUAAAUAUUUAAAAUAAGUUACUAUUAACUUUUAACGGUUUGAGGACCCUGGCCUGGCUCAUAAUUGCUGCUGACAUGUUCACUAGAAUCAUCGGUGGUAGGUUUCACUCCUAGAGAAAACCUGGACAGCUGUCCCCAUCAUACCAAAAAGCCAACUCCCUGGGACAUACUGGGGUAUUAGAAUAAUUCCAGCAACCCAGCGGCCUGUAGGAGCAAAAAUCAAGCAACAGGCACUGUGGAGAAGGGCUCUGAGAAACCCUGUGUUUACGAAGAACAGGUGCAUGGCAGGUGCAUGUGACUGACACAGAAUUCCUGCUCACACAGACAGACAUCUGCACCCUCACACAAAGCUCGUCAGCAGCUGGUUAAGACUAGCUGCUGAUGAAUCGUUAGGAAUGGAGCGGAGAUUGCCAAACUCAUUCCAUCUAUUUUCUUUUUAAUAGAAAGCAUUUCUGACCGGUGUGGUUGGGGAGUCCAGCGGGAAUCCAAGAAGUGAAAGGUCACCGAUUAAUUUAUGGUCCUCAACCAAGGGGGAGCACGAGGUUGGGGGCAAGAGGGGGAGAAAGGGAAAGGAAAAAAGACUCCCCCCCACCUCCUUUCUCGGUUGUAGCUGCAGGAUCAGUCCUUUCCUGGGAUCUUUAGGAAUUAUGAAAAAUGAAUCAUGAGAAAUAAAAAAAAAAGCCCUACAGAGUAAAAAAGAAUAAAAUUAUCUAACACCUCAGCUGCACAUCAUUAUAGAAAACUGUGGGCUUUUUAUACGCAUUACAGUAAGGCAGACAUCCCCUCUAACAGACUCAGUACGACGGAUCAGUAAUUGUUUUCAUACACUUUAAUUAGAAAAACUCAGAUGGCUAUGAAUAAUAAUGGAAAAGAGAGACUUUUGCACUUGAAAGGUUGAAGUCAAUCAAGUGUGAAUGACGGCAAAAAAGAAAAAAAAAAAAGACACCAAUUCAUCAGCC
Non-coding RNA from Sus scrofa (pig), 2530 nucleotides. Lineage: Eukaryota; Metazoa; Chordata; Mammalia; Artiodactyla; Suidae. The record is from RefSeq and is a predicted model, not a curated record.